GCGCCUGUAGCUCAGCUGGAUAGAGCGUUGGCCUCCGGAGCCAAAGGCCGAAGGUUCGAAUCCUUUCAGGCGCGCCA
This 77-nucleotide transfer RNA is filed under the name Vibrio alginolyticus. Its description in RNAcentral is "tRNA-Arg". It matches the Rfam family "tRNA". Rfam says of the family: Transfer RNA (tRNA) molecules are approximately 80 nucleotides in length. Their secondary structure includes four short double-helical elements and three loops (D, anti-codon, and T loops). Lineage: Bacteria; Pseudomonadati; Pseudomonadota; Gammaproteobacteria; Vibrionales; Vibrionaceae. RNAcentral also lists the same sequence under 307 other names. The record is from RNAcentral.